Molecule: long non-coding RNA, 711 nt
Filed under: Capsicum annuum
Lineage: Eukaryota; Viridiplantae; Streptophyta; Magnoliopsida; Solanales; Solanaceae
Description: long non-coding RNA (CANN_LNC021949)
Source: RNAcentral
GCUGACGCGUCAAGUUUUGCGAACUAAGCUGUCUUUUUGUACUGUGAAUAUGUACUCUUUUGUGCAUAUUAAGUUUUUCGUCAUUACCUAACGAUGAAUUUAACGGCACAAUAUAAUAAAAUUAAAGUAAGAAUCAAAACAGAUAUUGUAUUUAAACUAAAAACAUAACGCAAACACAAAAAUGCACAAAAAGUAAUAUGGUUUGGCAUUUUUACUUCUUCCACAUUAUCAUACACACUAAGAUGCUCAGAAUCUCCAUAAAUGUGGCCGCACCCGUGUCGGAUCCUUAAAAAAUGCACUACUUCUGAAGGAUCCGACACACAACCAAUGACAUUUUUGAAGCGUCCGAGCAACAUAGCACACUAUUAACAUAUGCUUUGGCAUUUUUACUUCUUCCUAUUUCCUCCUUGUUUCUUCAACCUCCCCUUCCUCUUCCCUUUCCCCUUCUUCUUUUCAGUCUGGUUACCGCCUGAGGUCCCGGAAGUGCUGGCAGACGGAAGAAGAUUCGUCGUAGCAACUUCAUCAUACGCUACAUCAAGUAUCUCCGCGCAUUGGUUCUCCAACACGACAGUUGUACCCGUGGGCACAACGAGCUGAUUCAAGAAAGCUUCUAGUUUCGGCUUUUUUGACAGCAAACUCUUUAGCAGCUGUUCAAUGCUAGCCUUUUCCAGAAUGCUGCAUAACAUUAAGCACAAAAUAAUUCAACAAGGU